RNAcentral lists this ribosomal RNA (429 nucleotides) under uncultured archaeon. Its description in RNAcentral is "bacterial SSU rRNA". It matches the Rfam family "Archaeal small subunit ribosomal RNA", at positions 474 to 903 of the family's 1478-position model. The record is from RNAcentral.
UACCUGCAGCUCAAGUGGUGGCCGCUAUUAUUGGGCCUAAAACGUCCGUAGCCGGUUUAGUAAAUGCCUGGGUAAAUCGUGCCGCUCAACGGUACGAAUUCUGGGUAGACUGCUAAGCUUGAGACCGGGAGAGGCUAGAGGUACUCCUGGGGUAGAGGUGAAAUUCUGUAAUCCUAGGGGGACCACCAGUGGCGAAGGUGUCUAGCUAGAACGGGUCUGACGGUGAGGGACGAAGCCCUGGGGCGCAAACCGGAUUAGAUACCCGGGUAGUCCAGGGUGUAAACGCUGCUUGCUUGAUGUUGGUUGGGCUCCGAGCCCAAUCAGUGUCGAAGAGAAGUUGUUAAGCAAGCUGCCUGGGAAGUACGAUCGCAAGAUUGAAACUUAAAGGAAUUGGCGGGGGAGCACAGCAACGGGUGGAGCGCGCGGUUU